RNAcentral lists this ribosomal RNA (734 nucleotides) under uncultured Fusobacterium sp. RNAcentral's name for it is "bacterial SSU rRNA". It matches the Rfam family "Bacterial small subunit ribosomal RNA", at positions 28 to 776 of the family's 1533-position model. Lineage: Bacteria; Fusobacteriati; Fusobacteriota; Fusobacteriia; Fusobacteriales; Fusobacteriaceae. The record is from RNAcentral.
GAUGAACGCUGACAGAAUGCUUAACACAUGCAAGUCAACUGAAUUCGGGUUUUUAACUUAGAUUUGGGUGGCGGACGGGUGAGUAACGCGUAAAGAACUUGCCUCACAGCUAGGGACAACAUUUAGAAAUGAAUGCUAAUACCUGAUAUUAUGAUUUUAAGGCAUCUUAGAAUUAUGAAAGCUAUAUGCACUGUGAGAGAGCUUUGCGUCCCAUUAGUUAGUUGGAGAGGUAACAGCUCACCAAGGCGAUGAUGGGUAGCCGGCCUGAGAGGGUGAACGGCCACAAGGGGACUGAGACACGGCCCUUACUCCUACGGGAGGCAGCAGUGGGGAAUAUUGGACAAUGGACCGAGAGUCUGAUCCAGCAAUUCUGUGUGCACGAUGAAGUUUUUCGGAAUGUAAGGUGCUUUCAGUUGGGAAGAAAUAAAUGACGGUACCAACAGAAGAAGUGACGGCUAAAUACGUGCCAGCAGCCGCGGUAAUACGUAUGUCACGAGCGUUAUCCGGAUUUAUUGGGCGUAAAGCGCGUCUAGGUGGUUAUGUAAGUCUGAUGUGAAAAUGCAGGGCUCAACUCUGUAUUGCGUUGGAAACUGUAUAACUAGAGUACUGGAGAGGUAAGCGGAACUACAAGUGUAGAGGUGAAAUUCGUAGAUAUUUGUAGGAAUGCCGAUGGGGAAGCCAGCUUACUGGACAGAUACUGACGCUAAAGCGCGAAAGCGUGGGUAGCAAACAGG